RNAcentral lists this ribosomal RNA (56 nucleotides) under Ophiocordyceps sinensis. RNAcentral's name for it is "partial 18S ribosomal RNA". It matches the Rfam family "Eukaryotic small subunit ribosomal RNA", at positions 1776 to 1831 of the family's 1831-position model. The record is from RNAcentral. Lineage: Eukaryota; Fungi; Ascomycota; Sordariomycetes; Hypocreales; Ophiocordycipitaceae.
GAUUGAAUAAAAGUCGUAACAAGGUCUCCGUUGGUGAACCAGCGGAGGGAUCAUUA